This 472-nucleotide ribosomal RNA is filed under the name uncultured bacterium. RNAcentral's name for it is "bacterial SSU rRNA". It matches the Rfam family "Bacterial small subunit ribosomal RNA", at positions 335 to 796 of the family's 1533-position model. The record is from RNAcentral.
ACUCCUACGGGAGGCAGCAGUGGGGAAUAUUGCACAAUGGGCGCAAGCCUGAUGCAGCCAUGCCGCGUGUAUGAAGAAGGCCUUCGGGUUGUAAAGUACUUUCAGCAGUGAGGAAGGUGGAUAUGUUAAUAGCAUAUUCAUUUGUACGUUAGCUGCAGAAGAAGCACCGGCUAACUCCGUGCCAGCAGCCGCGGUAAUACGGAGGGUGCGAGCGUUAAUCGGAAUUACUGGGCGUAAAGCGCAUGCAGGUGGUUUGUUAAGUCAGAUGUGAAAGCCCGGGGCUCAACCUCGGAAUUGCAUUUGAAACUGGCAAACUAGAGUACUGUAAGAGGGGGGUAGAAUUUCAGGUGUAGCGGUGAAAUGCGUAGAGAUCUGAAGGAAUACCGGUGGCGAAGGCGGCCCCCUGGACAGAUACUGACACUCAGAUGCGAAAGCGUGGGGAGCAAACAGGAUUAGAUACCAUGGUAGGCUC